This 253-nucleotide ribosomal RNA is filed under the name uncultured bacterium. RNAcentral's name for it is "partial 16S ribosomal RNA". It matches the Rfam family "Bacterial small subunit ribosomal RNA", at positions 524 to 776 of the family's 1533-position model. The record is from RNAcentral.
UACGGGGGGGGCAAGCGUUGUUCGGAAUUACUGGGCGUAAAGGGCUCGUAGGCGGCCAACUAAGUCAGACGUGAAAUCCCUCGGCUUAACCGGGGAACUGCGUCUGAUACUGGAUGGCUUGAGAUUGGGAGAGGGAUGCGGAAUUCCAGGUGUAGCGGUGAAAUGCGUAGAUAUCUGGAGGAACACCGGUGGCGAAGGCGGCAUCCUGGACCAACACUGACACUGAGAGACGAAAGCUAGGGGAGCGAAUGGG